This 1648-nucleotide long non-coding RNA is filed under the name Homo sapiens (human). Its description in RNAcentral is "HSALNT0119044". The record is from RNAcentral. Lineage: Eukaryota; Metazoa; Chordata; Mammalia; Primates; Hominidae.
CGCCACCACGCCCGGUUAAUUUUUCCUAUUUUUUAGUAGAAACGCGGUUUCACCCUGUCAGCCUGGAUGGCCUCGAUAUCCUGACCUCAUGAUCCACCCGCCUCAGCCUCCCAAAGUGCUGGGAUUACAGGCGUGAGCCACCCUGCCCAGCCUUUUCAAAGCCUUUAAUAAGAAAAUGUUUCCUGUGAGUAAAUCUCAGGGUAGUGUUUUGGUGGGGAGGAUGCCUCCAAGAGAUGGGGAUGUGGAGCCAGGAUGAGUGACAGAAAGCCUGGAAUCUACCUUUCUUAGACUCACUUACUAGCAGUUACUGGUUUAGGUUUUGCCAGUGAGAAACUCGUGUGUGAGACUUGGAAGGUGAACAAGAAGAAGAAGCCAUUGAUCUUCAGUGGGAGCUGCAGGCAGCUAUAUGGGCAUUGGAGAUGGCAGGCCCUCCCUACACAGAAAAAAAGAUGGCAAUCAGCAGCUCAAACUCAGAUCCUACUAUGAUGGCAAUGGCAUAAAGAUUGAGCUUUGCUCCUAAUCACUUUUAAGAAGGUCUAAGUAAGACUUCAAGUGACUUAGCUGUGUCCCAUAUGCAGCCUUCAGUCAUUUGCUGUAACUGGCUGAACAGAAUACUCUGACUAGGCCUGACUCACGAGUCUCCCCAGGAAGCACAGAGAGCAGGUAUCCACUUCCCUGCAACUGCAUAGCCUGAAUGGCACUGCUUCCACCGAAUCUCAACCCUGUGAACUAAAUUGCAUGGUGUCCACUUCACCCCAGCCACAAAGACUGAAUACCUUUAUGUCCACCUUACUCCAACCAUAUGGACGGAACAGGAAUCUUAUGAGGUGAACACAUGUUAAGUACUGUCAGUAGAGGAUGCAGGAGAGACAUUGAGAGAGGAUGAAGGAUUCUUCUAAUUCUGUACACCUGCCAAAGUCUCACCUCAGCUGCCUGCCUAGAAAGGCUGCUUCCCAUGACCCUCUCUACCUGAAGACCACAUGUUCUAAUUCUCAUGCAAAAGCCCCAUCCUCACUCCCUCUUUAUACAUUCACUUAUGAACUGUGGCUCUCUGCCACCUCAUUUCCUGCUUGCCCAGCGACCAUGGACCAGCUCUGAUCUGAGUGUCCUAGGAAACUUCUCUGGAGGUUGCAACUACACCUUCUCCAACAAGACCUGAACCCCACCUUGGAAUCCCCACUUCAACCUUGUCCUUCAUUGCAUCAUUUCCCUGAGCCCUAGGCUAACCAGCAGAGUUCUCUUUACAUCCUUAUAUUUACUUCCCUGCCAUAUUUAAUAAUUCUUUACAUUAAAAAGUUCCUGUUCAAAUUACUAUGAUUUCUUUUUCCUGAUUGAAUUUAGAUGGAUAUAUCCUCUUCAUAAUAAAUUCCAUUUCUCUUGGACUAAUUUGAAUGAAUGUCUGUUUCUUUUGAUCACGAAAACUGGCUACAAAUAGGCAGGACACAACAACUGAGUUUCCUCUGUUUGAGAUUCUUGCCCUUGUCCUUUGACUCUCACAGAAUUUUAUGAAAUUGACCUCAGUGCCUACAACUGACUGCACAUGACAAAAUGCAGAACACUUAGAUUUGAUGAACACAAGGCUUGACAUAUUUGUCAAUAGUACCAGGAAUAGUUUUGCAUACUAUAAUAUUUAACAGCCACAGGAGAA